Pezoporus occidentalis (night parrot) is the source of this 4063-nucleotide long non-coding RNA. RefSeq lists it as uncharacterized. NCBI's taxonomy places the organism in Eukaryota, Metazoa, Chordata, Aves, Psittaciformes, Psittacidae. The record is from RefSeq and is a predicted model, not a curated record. The transcript is spliced from 3 exons.
UUCAAGUUACCCAGAGUAGGGAGAAUAAUGCAUAAAGCAACAACUCUUGUUUCUAUUUAAAAUAGGCCUGAAUAACUGUUGUGGAUAAACAGCACAGAAAAGCUGUUCCACAUGGUGGGCUUUUUUAUUACAGUUUGUAAGCAAUGCUUUGUACACCACAGAUCAUAUCUGGGUGGAAAAAAUUUUAUUAGCUUUAUGCAUGUACAAGACAAUUGUUUACAUUUGAGUUAGUCAGCUUGCUUUUCCCAAGAGAAAUACAUGUUCUUCACCUUAUUUCCUUCAGAUGCCUGAAUGAGGUUAAUUGUGCCCUAGAAGUGCCACUUUUAUUUUCAUUGAUUAUUAAAGGAGCCUUGACAAUCAAGUCAGAUAGAGAUGUUUAAAUCUGAUCAGAUGAAUUCCAAUUUCUAGUCCAGAGUAAGCACAUCCCACAAGGAAAUGAGAAUGACAUUUAGUCCACUAUAAAAUUCAUACUUUCCUACUAAAAAAACCCUAACAAUAUUCUUUGAAUACAAGGAACUCUUAUUUGCAGCUGUGUAGGUUGUUCAAGCUACACUUCCACAUUAGUAAUGCAGUUUAGUCCUUUAAACCAAGUUUCUUUUUUUUUUUUCAGAACCUUAUAUAGAUGUUAAAAAAUCAACAACAAAAAAGAAAAAAAAAGGAAGGAAAAGAAAAAAGGAGUGCAAGAUAAAAAAAAAUUGUUGAUGGAACCCAGUCUGGGUAAUAGCUUCCAGGUGUGGUCACAACCAUAAAUGGUGAGGUCAAGAUUAGCAACCAUUUUCUUCUGAGAAGCAGUAUGUGAUCUUGUGUGCUCAUAGUUCAUUGCAAAGUGAAAAUAAAACAGGUAAGCCUAAAGACAGAGAUUCCUGACAUCAUUAAAAAGCAUUAUCUUGGAAUUUAUUUUAACAUGAUUCUCUGUAUGUGAUCAUGUUGGAAACAUGCCUGUUAUAAAUUGCUGCCUUUUAGCUGAGAUUUGUAGGUCCCAGGGAAAGUAUGGUAAUUUCCAUGGAAUGUGUUAGUGUAAAUCUUUGCAGUGGUGUGCUUUAUCCUCAGGUUCCUCAGAGUGGGAUACUUUCUGAUAGGGGGGCACAAAGUUGCACUGCUUUGAAUUUACAUAGAAACUGUGUCUUAGUUGUUUGGGUUUUUUUUUUUUUUUAAUGAACCAAAAAGUUACAGGCAUUUUAUCAACAGAUAGGCUGUGAAGCAGAAAAGAGGACUUUUGACAAAGAGUGGCAUCUCUGGGGACAAGUCACUACCUCAGUGGUAGAAGGAUGCUUUUAUUCAGGGAAGGGCAUGUUGAUGAUGAGACUUCCUCCAGAACCUCACCUGUUUUUUAGAGAUGUGUUUAUUACUGGCAUGAUAACUUCUUCAGGAAUUUUCUAUGCUAUGGCAUAGUGGAAGUCUGUCAAUAAGAAUCACUGUGUAAAAGUCAUGAUUUUGGAAAAAUUAAUGUCCGAAAUUUGGGGACAAACGGGUCUGAGAGGAAGAAAAAAAAAAACCCCAUGUGUAUAUUGAGAAAGAAUGUUUGAGAGCAGUGUUGGGUCUCUCAGUGAAGGACUCAGACUACUAACUAGUAGCUUCUGAGAUCAUUUUGUUAAAUGAACAGUUCUGUCUGGACCAGCUGCUAUACAGUGAUGGAGCUUUAGACAAGGGCAUUGAAACUGUUAAGACAAAUGAUAUAGUCAUAAUAGAGUGUUAUAAUGGAUACCCCAUCCAAUUAGCUGACCAGAAGCAGCAGAAAAAAAAAAUCUAAUUUGCAGUUAUGAUGCUAUAAAAAUCUUGUAAUCUGUGGGUGCAACAUCCUAACUGCAAUAUUCACCCUUGUUUCCUUUUGCCACAUGAACAUGUAUUUUUGGUAUGAGUAAUUGGAUUCAUUGCUACGGACCUAGUAAGAAAUACAUGUAUUUCAUUUUAUUCAACAUGCUUGGCCGUGGUGAUGUUCACAGGAUGUGUGAAGCCGUGCAAAUCCGGUCACAAUGUAUAUAGUAGAAUCAGAUGUCAGAAUUUAGCUGUUUUUAAAAAAAUAAAGUUCUCACAGGGACAUAUCUGGAUGUGCAUGUGAAUCUUGUCUUAUGGUUUGAAGAUGAGUCUGGCUUUGGCUGUAUCCCAUUGCCUGGGAGCAAGGUCUGAGAUUGGAAGGGUGUUUCUUGGAAAACAGCUAUGUAGAAUAAAUAGGUAGAAGCAUCAUGCUCAGUGUAUAGCAAGAGAUAAUUUUUGAAGGGCAUGGAAGCCCCACAGUUGAUAAGUGCCUUAGCAUUAGAGAGUUCAAAACCAUUUUGAUAUUAUGGGUCAGAUAGUAUACUUGUCCCUCAAGUUAUGUACAGAGAAAAGAAAAAUUUCCAUUGCUUUCCCAGCAAUUGGAAACUUUAGAAAGAGCUUGUACUCCCUCAUUUCCUCAAACAUGCUCUCUAAUACUGAGAUCAGCUACGCUUAGAUAGAAUUUGAACCAAGAGGCUGGGAAUUGUGAAUUGGGGAUGAACUGCUCUGAGGUUACAAAGAAGAGGAGGGAAACCGGAAUAUUUGCUGCUCUUUAUUGCAAUACAGCCUACAGCCAGAAACAGGCACAAAACAGAAGCAGCAAGGUGUCAGUUGUCAACGACUUGUUACUGAUCUGGAUUUGAUGUUUAUGGUAUGUGGACUGGCUGUGGGAAAAGGAGUCUGUUUUUCCUACUGCAGAAGGUGGAGCUGUUGACGGUGAAGGUCAUGCAACUUUAUAGUCUCCUAAUGAGGUAAUAAGGAAGCAAGAAAAAAAACCCCUAUCUUAUUACAAAAAGUGCAAGCUAAUUGGCAUACCCUGGUUUUAAUUAGUAGGUAAGAUUUGCUAUGCUGGUGAAAGGGAAGUGAGAAGCCUGGGUAAAAGUUUACUGGGGUUCACCUAUGAAAAAAUAAUUAUGCUACAGCAGCACUUAAAACAUAAAUAACUAGAAGCAAUUUGCUUUGAUAACAGUGUACUAAAUACCUACAAAAUAGGAGAUGCUGUGCUGUUGCAGCAAACUGAAGAGAGGACUGCCUGGAAGGGUAUGGAUAGGUUCCGCACUCUGCAGGGCUCAGAGGGAAGUUUAGAACAGAAAAGAAGAAUAAACAGAGGCCUCAGCCAUGCUGGCCUAGGCAUUUUUUCAUUUGUGUACUCCAGGGCUAACUAUAAAGGGUUUCAUAUGCUGUCAGCAAGACCUUGUAUCAUUACGCAUUGUAUUGUUGUAUUGACAAUCCUUUCUGGAUAAUGUAAAAGUUGAGGUAUGCAGUUUAUAAGUGCUAGGAGAGAGACCUCUAUUUCUCUGCUAAAUAAAACUGUUUUUCCAUUAAAAUUUGUGGUUGCAACGAUGUAUUAUAAAAACAUAAAUAUGGGAACACAUUGAACUGGGCUAUCAAUACAUUUCACGGCAAAGGUGACAUCAUAUCCCACAUAUGUUUUGUGGUUUAUUAUGAUAGUCCCAGAACCCUGGGAAGAAUUUAUAGCCUUCACAACUCACCAAUUAUAUUUAUAAUCACUUGAAAGACUCGUUUGUAUUUGGUAAGAAUACUUUUUUUUUUAAUAUUUCUUUUAGAUUUAUUGUUUUUAUUUAUCUACACUACACUUUUUGAGUUUAAAGCUGACAUUCAGCAAUUACUUUACAACAGUUUUUCUAUCAUGCACCCAAAUAGGAUUCACCUUCCAUAGCAUUGAGCUAUUUGUUAGUAUCCCGUACAGAUUUGAGUUCUCUGGCUGCAGUGUGUGGAGGGGGAGUGUUGGUCGGCUUGUUUGAUGCAAUCAGCAGUGUGUGAAAGAAAUAUUGCAUGCUCAAGGUCACACUUGCGUCUCUACAGCACGUAGCAUGAGCAGUAUCAUUUGAAAUCUUACGCGACAGUUGAAGUUGCCAGAGCUAAAAGAAGAGGCUUCAGAAUAGCAUUGAUUCAAUUUUAUUCCUCAGUUGUAAAAGAUGUCUGUGCUUAUGAAACCCUUCAGGCUUCCUUUUCCAUGGCUGGCUUUGUGUUGGUCCCCCAGCAGGCAUGCUGGGAAGGUGAUAAGGCACUUGCGUUGGAAGUGCUCACUGAGGCAUCUUCAAAUGUAACUUCAAAUAAUUACCGA